Molecule: small RNA, 83 nt
Filed under: Marmota monax (woodchuck)
Lineage: Eukaryota; Metazoa; Chordata; Mammalia; Rodentia; Sciuridae
Source: RNAcentral
GCUGGGCAUAGCAGUGCAUGCCUGUAUUCCCAGUGGCUCGGGAGGCUGAGGCAGGAGGAUUGCAAGUUGAAAGCCAGCCUCAG